GGCCGGCGUUUUCAGUGUAUUUGG
Molecule: non-coding RNA, 24 nt
Filed under: Arabidopsis thaliana (thale cress)
Lineage: Eukaryota; Viridiplantae; Streptophyta; Magnoliopsida; Brassicales; Brassicaceae
Source: RNAcentral